This 401-nucleotide ribosomal RNA is filed under the name Paraburkholderia phenazinium. RNAcentral's name for it is "partial 16S ribosomal RNA". It matches the Rfam family "Bacterial small subunit ribosomal RNA", at positions 461 to 863 of the family's 1533-position model. The record is from RNAcentral. Lineage: Bacteria; Pseudomonadati; Pseudomonadota; Betaproteobacteria; Burkholderiales; Burkholderiaceae.
UGGGGGGGAUGAGGGUACCGGAAGAAUAAGCACCGGCUAACUACGUGCCAGCAGCCGCGGUAAUMCGUAGGGUGCAAGCGUUAAUCGGAAUUACUGGCCCGUAAACGUGCGCAGGCGGYCCSCUAAGACAGAUGUGAAACCCCCGGGCUUAACCUGGGAACUGCAUUUGUGACUGGCGGGCUAGAGUAUGGCAGAGGGGGGUAGAAUCCCMCGUGUAGCAGUGAAAUCCGUAGAGAUGUGGAGGAAUACCGAUGSCGAAGGCAGCCCCCUGGGCCAAUACUGACSCYWAUGCMCGAAACCGUGGGGAGCAAACAGGAUUAGAUACCCUGGUAGYCCACGCCCUAAACGAUGUCAACUAGUUGUCGGGUCUYNAUUGACUUGGUAACGUACUAACGCGUGAA